AGUGAACGCUGGCGGUAGGCCUAACACAUGCAAGUCGAACGGCAGCACAGUAAGAGCUUGCUCUUACGGGUGGCGAGUGGCGGACGGGUGAGGAAUACAUCGGAAUCUACUUUUUCGUGGGGGAUAACGUAGGGAAACUUACGCUAAUACCGCAUACGACCUACGGGUGAAAGCAGGGGAUCUUCGGACCUUGCGCGAUUGAAUGAGCCGAUGUCGGAUUAGCUAGUUGGCGGGGUAAAGGCCCACCAAGGCGACGAUCCGUAGCUGGUCUGGGAGGAUGAUCAGCCACACUGGAACUGAGACACGGUCCAGACUCCUACGGGAGGCAGCAGUGGGGAAUAUUGGACAAUGGGCGCAAGCCUGAUCCAGCCAUACCGCGUGGGUGAAGAAGGCCUUCGGGUCGUAAAGCCCUUUUGUUGGGAAAGAAAAGCAGCAGGUUAAUACCCCGCUGUUCUGACGGUACCCAAAGAAUAAGCACCGGCUAACUUCGUG
This 492-nucleotide ribosomal RNA is filed under the name uncultured bacterium. Its description in RNAcentral is "partial 16S ribosomal RNA". It matches the Rfam family "Bacterial small subunit ribosomal RNA", at positions 29 to 507 of the family's 1533-position model. The record is from RNAcentral.